Molecule: ribosomal RNA, 253 nt
Filed under: uncultured bacterium
Lineage: Bacteria
Description: partial 16S ribosomal RNA
Rfam family: Bacterial small subunit ribosomal RNA
Source: RNAcentral
UACGUAGGGUGCAAGCGUUAAUCGGAAUUACUAGGCGUAAAGCGUGCGCAGGCGGUUAUGUAAGACAGAUGUGAAAUCCCCGGGCUCAACCUGGGAACUGCAUUUGUGACUGCAUAGCUAGAGUACGGUAGAGGGGGAUGGAAUUCCGCGUGUAGCAGUGAAAUGCGUAGAUAUGCGGAGGAACACCGAUGGCGAAGGCAACCCCCUGGGCCUGUAUUGACGCUCAUGCACGAAAGCGUGGGUAGCAAACAGG